AGUGAACGCUGGCGGUAGGCCUAACACAUGCAAGUCGAACGGCAGCACAGUAAGAGCUUGCUCUUACGGGUGGCGAGUGGCGGACGGGUGAGGAAUACAUCGGAAUCUACUUUUUCGUGGGGGAUAACGUAGGGAAACUUACGCUAAUACCGCAUACGACCUACGGGUGAAAGCAGGGGAUCUUCGGACCUUGCGCGAUUGAAUGAGCCGAUGUCGGAUUAGCUAGUUGGCGGGGUAAAGGCCCACCAAGGCGACGAUCCGUAGCUGGUCUGAGAGGAUGAUCAGCCACACUGGAACUGAGACACGGUCCAGACUCCUACGGGAGGCAGCGGUGGGGAAUAUUGGACAAUGGGCGCAAGCCUGAUCCAGCCAUACCGCGUGGGUGGAGAAGGCCUUCGGGUUGUAAAGCCCUUUUGUUGGGAAAGAAAAGCAGCAGGUUAAUACCCCGCUGUUCUGACGGUACCCAAAGAAUAAGCACCGGCUAACUUCGUG
RNAcentral lists this ribosomal RNA (492 nucleotides) under uncultured bacterium. RNAcentral's name for it is "partial 16S ribosomal RNA". It matches the Rfam family "Bacterial small subunit ribosomal RNA", at positions 29 to 507 of the family's 1533-position model. The record is from RNAcentral.